Molecule: ribosomal RNA, 440 nt
Filed under: uncultured bacterium
Lineage: Bacteria
Description: partial 16S ribosomal RNA
Rfam family: Bacterial small subunit ribosomal RNA
Source: RNAcentral
CCUACGGGUGGCAGCAGUGGGGAAUAUUGCACAAUGGGGGAAACCCUGAUGCAGCGACGCCGCGUGAGGGAAGAAGUACUUCGGUAUGUAAAGCUCUAUUAGCAGGGAAGUAAAUGACGGUACCUGAUUAAGAAGCCCCGGCUAACUAGGUGCCAGCAGCGGCGGUAAUACGGAGGGGGCAAGCGUUAUCCGGAUUUACUGGGUGUAAAGGGAGCGUAGACGGCAGGACAAGUCUGGAGUGAAAUGCCGGGGCUUAACCCCAGAACUGCAGUGGAUACUGUGAAGCUAGAGUGCAGGAGAGGUAGGUGGAAUUCGUAGUGUAGCGGUGAAAUGCGUAGAUAUUAGGAGGAACACCAGUGGCGAAGGCAGCUUACUAAACUGCAACUGACGUUGAUGCUCGAAAGCGUGGGUAGCAAACAGGAUUAGAUACCCGAGUAGUC